Molecule: long non-coding RNA, 545 nt
Filed under: Hordeum vulgare
Lineage: Eukaryota; Viridiplantae; Streptophyta; Magnoliopsida; Poales; Poaceae
Description: long non-coding RNA (HVUL_LNC008756)
Source: RNAcentral
CGAAACCUGGCUGCGUCGGUCCGUCCGUAGCCUGUACACACAUACGUAGAAAAUACGCUACAGUAUACGUAGCGAGCACGCUACCGUAUUCGACGUAUAAUACCUAGCGUCGACGCCCUAAUUCGGCAAAUCCACAGCUUUUUCGUCGCAAUCACGCGCGAACAAGAAUCUCCAGCUCCAAUCGCCCCGCCGCCAUGGCGCACCACCGCCGCCGCAGCUGCCUGCGCCGUGUUGCCACCAUCGCGGGCGGCGUGUCAGCCGGCCUCCUCCUCCUCGCCGGCGGCCAUACCUACGCCCACGGUCAGCUCUUCUCACCGGGCUUGCUGCCCCUUGGCCUCGGCGGCGGCGCCGACUGCUUGCCGUCCUUCGCCCCGCCGUCCUUCGCCCCGCCGCCCUUCGCCCUCUCGCCGCUGCCGCCCUACCUCCUGUCGGAGGCCGAGGCCGAGGCCGAGGCCCCGCAGCCGGAAGCCAACCUCCCGCGCCGCCUUCUGCCCGGACAUCGCUCGCCGCCGCCGCCGCCCUGCCUCCCCUCAAACUUGAACUUG